This 253-nucleotide ribosomal RNA is filed under the name uncultured bacterium. RNAcentral describes it as "partial 16S ribosomal RNA". It matches the Rfam family "Bacterial small subunit ribosomal RNA", at positions 524 to 776 of the family's 1533-position model. The record is from RNAcentral.
UACGUAGGGUGCGAGCGUUGUCCGGAAUUACUGGGCGUAAAGAGCUCGUAGGUGGUUUGUCGCGUUGUUCGUGAAAACUCACAGCUUAACUGUGGGCGUGCGGGCGAUACGGGCAGACUGGAGUACUGCAGGGGAGACUGGAAUUCCUGGUGUAGCGGUGGAAUGCGCAGAUAUCAGGAGGAACACCUGCGGCGAAGGCGGGUUGCUGGGCCGACACUGACGCUGAUGCGCGAAAGCCAGGGGAGCGAACGGG